CAGGAAAACACCAUUGUAUUAAUUAUGUGAGCAAAGUAGGAAAGGCAACUGACACAUCUUUUCCUAAAGUUCCCUUCAGUUGUUUCACAUACCUCUGUAUUGUUCUUCCAGACUCAAGAACAUUGGCUGGUGGCUCAGCAUACACAAAACAAGAAAGAGAAAAAUCACAGAUAGAGCACAGCAUGUUACUCUGUAAGAGCCAUCUUGAAUUGCUGCACAGCCACCCUCCCGCUCCCACACACAGACAACAACCUGGGCAGCUCCUUACUUUUAAAGGGGCGGGUGCUCAGGAGAAGACCUACUGGACCCUUUAAUAGAUGGCCUCCCAAGUACAAGGAGGGUCUCAAGGCCCAUCACCAGCUUUGGCCAUUUGCAUCCUUUUCAUCAGAAGGACAGAAUUUGGGGGACAGUUUAAAAAAUGUGAGUAGGUUCUUAUCACCCCACAUUCCUUCUCUCUGAGACUAGAGUGUUCAUUUUAUGUUUGAUCAGUGGAGUAUUGAAAUAUCACAUCUUUGCCAUUGAAAUUCUCUUCAUGAUGGAGAGGAUGUGACUGUGUAUAAGUUUCCUGUAAUUUCACUCUCUCUCUCUUGGGUGAUUGUUAUUCCAAGCUCCAUCUCCCAUUUACUUUUGAUUAUUUCUGUCUCCUUUUCAUCUCCUCCCAAUAUGACUUCUUAAGUGUCUGCAAAACUGGCAUUAGGAUAGUGAAACAGACACUUCGAGACAGGUUUGGGUAAAGCAAAGAAAGCCUCAGGCUUUGGGGUUUAUUUGUGGUUAAAAUAAAUGGCACCACAUUCUGAAGUCA
This 802-nucleotide long non-coding RNA is filed under the name Chrysemys picta bellii (western painted turtle). Its description in RNAcentral is "lncRNA (ENSCPBG00000008721.1)". Lineage: Eukaryota; Metazoa; Chordata; Testudines; Emydidae. The record is from RNAcentral.